CCUGCCACCUUCAAAAUGGACAAAGUUGAUGCCCUCAAGUUUCUAAAUGCUACAUUGCCUGAAAAAUCCACAUUUUCCAUCAUAGUUUUUAGAUGCAAGCCAUUAAACAAGUAGUUCAAUCCAUUUUUUGCAUGUUUUACACCGCUGUCCCAGCCAGGUAAUGUUCCAUUGUCUUUACUUAUGUCAGCAUUUUCAACAGAACAACUACUGCAAUCCCCUGAAUUGUCACUGUGAGACACUGACUGCCCUAGAUCUUGCGGUUGAUCUAUUCCUUGUUUCUCUUUUCCCUGAAAUUUUCCAGAGGUUUGCUUAGUUUUGUUAUCAUCUCCAACAUUGUUUUUU
This 342-nucleotide unclassified non-coding RNA is filed under the name Hevea brasiliensis (rubber tree). Lineage: Eukaryota; Viridiplantae; Streptophyta; Magnoliopsida; Malpighiales; Euphorbiaceae. The record is from RNAcentral.